RNAcentral lists this ribosomal RNA (214 nucleotides) under uncultured bacterium. Its description in RNAcentral is "partial 16S ribosomal RNA". It matches the Rfam family "Bacterial small subunit ribosomal RNA", at positions 1287 to 1500 of the family's 1533-position model. The record is from RNAcentral.
CUCAGUUCAGACUGCAGGCUGCAACUCGCCUGCACGAAGUCGGAAUUGCUAGUAAUCGUAGGUCAGCAUACUACGGUGAAUACGUUCCCGGGCCUUGUACACACCGCCCGUCAAACCAUGAGAGUUGGCAACACCCGAAGUCGGUAGUCUAACCGCAAGGAGGACGCCGCCGAAGGUGGGGUUGAUGAUUAGGGUUAAGUCGUAACAAGGUAGC